AUUGAACGCUGGCGGCAUGCCUUACACAUGCAAGUCGAACGGUAACAGGUCUUCGGAUGCUGACGAGUGGCGAACGGGUGAGUAAUACAUCGGAACGUGCCUAGUAGUGGGGGAUAACUACUCGAAAGAGUGGCUAAUACCGCAUGAGAUCUAUGGAUGAAAGCAGGGGAUCGCAAGACCUUGUGCUACUAGAGCGGCCGAUGGCAGAUGAGGUAGUUGGUGGGAUAAAAGCUUACCAAGCCGACGAUCUGUAGCUGGUCUGAGAGGACGAUCAGCCACACUAGGACUGGGACACGGCCCAGACUCCUACGGGAGGCAGCAGUGGGGAAUUUUGGACAAUGGGCGCAAGCCUGAUCCAGCAAUGCCGCGUGCAGGAUGAAGGCCUUCGGGUUGUAAACUGCUUUUGUACGGAACGAAAAGCCCCGGGUUAAUACCCUGGGGUCAUGACGGUACCGUAAGAAUAAGCACCGGCUAACUACGUGCCAGCCGCCGCGGUAA
RNAcentral lists this ribosomal RNA (498 nucleotides) under uncultured bacterium. RNAcentral describes it as "partial 16S ribosomal RNA". It matches the Rfam family "Bacterial small subunit ribosomal RNA", at positions 30 to 523 of the family's 1533-position model. The record is from RNAcentral.